This 66-nucleotide transfer RNA is filed under the name Collinsella aerofaciens. It matches the Rfam family "tRNA". Rfam says of the family: Transfer RNA (tRNA) molecules are approximately 80 nucleotides in length. Their secondary structure includes four short double-helical elements and three loops (D, anti-codon, and T loops). Further hydrogen bonds mediate the characteristic L-shaped molecular structure. tRNAs have two regions of fundamental functional importance: the anti-codon, which is responsible for specific mRNA codon recognition, and the 3' end, to which the tRNAs corresponding amino acid is attached (by aminoacyl-tRNA synthetases). tRNAs cope with the degeneracy of the genetic code in two manners: having more than one tRNA (with a specific anti-codon) for a particular amino acid; and 'wobble' base-pairing, i.e. permitting non-standard base-pairing at the 3rd anti-codon position. RNAcentral also lists the same sequence under 1 other name. Lineage: Bacteria; Bacillati; Actinomycetota; Coriobacteriia; Coriobacteriales; Coriobacteriaceae. The record is from RNAcentral.
GGGCGUAGUUCAAUGGUAGAACACCAGCCUUCCAAGCUGAUGACGCGGGUUCGAUUCCCGUCGCCC